UCGAGGACCUGUGGGCGCCUGAAGGGCCUGUCUUCCGCCGCACUGUCGCCACGUCGGGAAAGAAGCAUCGGGCAUCAGGAGCAAUGGCGCCCCAGGGGUCAUGGCUGCUCGCGGUUCAUCAGCGUUUGUUUUGAAACUGAUGGGUACCACAAGGCAUGAAAGAGGUGACUUGCAGCAGCAAGACACUGCAAGCCUUCGCAGCAACUGGCUAGCCAGUGCUGCUCUGUUCUGAACUGCACUGCGUGUCAUGCGGAGGGUUUGUGCAAGCUCUCUGGGCGGCGAUGCUAGCCACGGUAAGUGCAUUCUAUGCAGCUUUCUUUUAGGGAUAUAUGUGGCCCGCAGGCCAUGUCGUGCCAGCGAAAUAUGUGCCACCCGAGUGACAGCAGUGCUAGUGGCAAGGCUGCGCUGACAGUAAUCAACACUGCACUGUGUUUUCAUUCAAUAACUAGUGACAAGGAACCAAAUACUCCCGAGAGAGUCUCGGUUGUGCUUUGAUGAACUCCAGCUCGCUUAUGAACAGGUGGAUGGCACAGAUGGCUUUUCCUGGUGGGCUUGGUGUCCGUGUAACAAUGCAACCAGACUUUCUUUCAGUUUGUGGCGUUUUUUCGUUGCGGGUGACUAGCAUUGCAGUAGAAAAAGAUGCAAAAUAGUAUAAUGUUUGCAUUCGUUACCUAAAUUAAUGGCAAGAACAACUGACCUACAUUUCCACCGACUGCAUUUCUCGGAGGAAUAGCCUGGACUAAAAAGCUCGCUACACUAUGUCGUUCCCUCUUAGCCUGUACAACUCUGCGUCUUCCCUCGAUUGUCUUGUGUGGCUGCUUCUGUGUCUGCCUAGGCACUCGGUUGAAAUGGGGAAAGCUGUCUGCGUUGCACAUAACCGCCAUAAGAGCCAGCGUGGGCGUAGCUGGGGUAGCCCCCCCUAUGGCUUCUCCAGCUCGACACAAGUAACAUUCCUACCGCUGUCGUGUUAGCAGAAAACAGACCUGCUUAAAACAUACAGUGCACGUAGUACACAAUGGAGUGGUUGCUCGCCAAUCAUUUUCUUGGAAGUGUGAGUUGAGCCCCUUCGAGGCAGUUUGCUUCCGCACCGUGCACUAUAAUCGGCCCGAGAAGAGAAAACAAGAUGAAUAACUAGUAGGAUUUCUUUGUUCCAAGGCUUCUUGAUGCAGAAAAAGACUAGGGAACCAGUAUUGUUGCUUUUUACUACCCCGUGCGAGACUCAAACCCGACAUGCAAGGAAGUGGAAAGACCUCUUCCUUUCUGCUUUCUUGUGCCUUGGGUUUUAGUUGUGUUCACAAUUCACAGCUCGCCUGCAUGACUACUCUUUUGUUCACUGUGUUACUGAAGUUUUUUGUCGUUGCUGUCCCAGAUUGGCUUCAUGGAUGCACAGAAAUACUCAAGGCGCUUGACGUCUGUGGCUCAUCUGUAUUGUUUUUCCCGGUACCACGGCAUGGAAGGAGCUGGCCUCCCUCCCUUCCAUCAGCUGCGAUACACUACAAGCACUGGGCUACAGCUGCAGCUAGCCCAUGGGUACCGGGGACCAUGACAUCAAUGAGUUGGCUUUCACCUUGUCCAAGGCAGCAGCGGAACACUUCGGGCGGGACCCUGGAUCACUGCACCAUGGAUGCUGUCCUGUACCCUUCACGGCACUGCGUGUGGCUUAAGUGGCCAAGCAGAGGGUCAUUGCAUGACUUUUAUGAGGCGCCGCUAGCCAUUGUUUCAAACCGCCCUGAAUCGUGGAUCAAGCCUUGCAAGAUGGAAGUUCUCUUUAGGCCCAGCGCCUCUUGAUGGAUCAAGUCUUGUACC
This is a long non-coding RNA of Ixodes scapularis (black-legged tick), 1806 nucleotides long. RefSeq lists it as uncharacterized. NCBI's taxonomy places the organism in Eukaryota, Metazoa, Arthropoda, Arachnida, Ixodida, Ixodidae. The record is from RefSeq and is a predicted model, not a curated record. The transcript is spliced from 4 exons.